UACAGAGGUGGCAAGCGUUGUUCGGAAUUACUGGGCGUAAAGGGCGCGUAGGCGGUUCGUUAAGUCCUGUGUGAAAUCCCCCGGCUCAACUGGGGAACUGCACAGGAAACUAGCGGGCUUGAGUUCGGGAGAGGGAAGCGGAAUUCCGGGUGUAGCGGUGAAAUGCGUAGAUAUCCGGAGGAACACCGGUGGCGAAGGCGGCUUCCUGGACCGACACUGACGCUGAGGCGCGAAAGCUA
RNAcentral lists this ribosomal RNA (239 nucleotides) under uncultured bacterium. RNAcentral describes it as "partial 16S ribosomal RNA". It matches the Rfam family "Bacterial small subunit ribosomal RNA", at positions 524 to 762 of the family's 1533-position model. The record is from RNAcentral.